GACGAACGCUGGCGGCGUGCUUAACACAUGCAAGUCGAACGAAGUGGCGAACGGGUGAGUAAUACGUGAGUAACCUGCCCUCCUUUUUGGGAUAAGCCUUGGAAACGGGGUCUAAUACCUAAUAACGGGGGAUGGGCGCGCGGCCUAUCAGCUUGUUGGUGGGGUGAUGGCCUACCAAGGCGGUGACGGGGAGCCGGCCUGAGGGGUAGACAUGCAACAUUGGGACUGAGAUAAGGCACAGACGAGUACGGGAGGGAGCAGUAGGGAAUCUUCGGCAAUGGACGAAAGACUGAUGCAGCGACGCCGCGUGGGGGAUGAAGACUUUCGGGUUGUAAACCUCGUUCGCUAGCGAACGGGUAGGUGGAGAAGAAGCGCCGGCUAACUACGUGCCAGCAGCCGCGGUAAUUC
Molecule: ribosomal RNA, 408 nt
Filed under: uncultured bacterium
Lineage: Bacteria
Description: partial 16S ribosomal RNA
Rfam family: Bacterial small subunit ribosomal RNA
Source: RNAcentral